Molecule: non-coding RNA, 23 nt
Filed under: Rattus norvegicus (Norway rat)
Lineage: Eukaryota; Metazoa; Chordata; Mammalia; Rodentia; Muridae
Source: RNAcentral
UGAGGACUCUUCGGUGUCAUGGU